This is a non-coding RNA of Eutrema salsugineum, 209 nucleotides long. The record is from Rfam. NCBI's taxonomy places the organism in Eukaryota, Viridiplantae, Streptophyta, Magnoliopsida, Brassicales, Brassicaceae.
AAAGAAAUAUGUAGCCAAGGACAACUUGCCGAUCAUAUUUUUCUUUUUGUUUCUUUGUAAUUUAUUUUGUUUUCUAAUACGAAAUAGAUAUCUACUUUGUUCUUACCUUCUUCAAGAACCAGGGCAUUUGAAAAUCAGAAAAUGUUUUAAGAGAGAAUAAAAAUAUAAAUUUAAAUCGGCAAGUCAUCCUUGGCUGCACACUACUUUGG